This 253-nucleotide ribosomal RNA is filed under the name uncultured bacterium. RNAcentral's name for it is "partial 16S ribosomal RNA". It matches the Rfam family "Bacterial small subunit ribosomal RNA", at positions 524 to 776 of the family's 1533-position model. The record is from RNAcentral.
UACGUAGGGGGCAAGCGUUGUCCGGAUUUAUUGGGCGUAAAGAGCGUGUAGGCGGCCAGACAAGUCUGCUGUGAAAACUCGAGGCUCAACCUCGAGCUGUCGGUGGAAACUGUCUGGCUAGAGUCCGGAAGAGGAGAGUGGAAUUCCUGGUGUAGCGGUGAAAUGCGCAGAUAUCAGGAAGAACACCUAUGGCGAAGGCAGCUCUCUGGGACGGUACUGACGCUUAGACGCGAAAGCGUGGGGAGCGAACAGG